This 651-nucleotide long non-coding RNA is filed under the name Helianthus annuus (common sunflower). Its description in RNAcentral is "hypothetical non coding rna". Lineage: Eukaryota; Viridiplantae; Streptophyta; Magnoliopsida; Asterales; Asteraceae. The record is from RNAcentral.
UUUUGAUUUGAAUGAGAUUCAUUGCUUGAAUUUUUAGUUUCGUUAUAUUAAACUGUUUAGAUUUAGUAAGGUUAAAUACUCUUUAAAAUUUAUAAGGUUACUUGAAAAAUUUCUGUGUAUCUAAUGUUUUUUUAAGUUAAACUCGGGUAUAUUGCAUGUUAUGUUCUUUUAAGUUUAACCAGAAUUUCAUCGACUCUCCUUUGUGUUCUAAUUUCUAUUAACGGUUUAACUCAGAAGUGUAUUUGUUCUAAUUUUGUUUGUUAAAUUACAACGACUGAAAUUUUGUUGGAAUUUAAAGGACUUAAAAUGCAAUUUAACCUUGAAACUUUGUUAAUAAGACACCAAUGUCUCAACAAAACCACUUAAGCAGGUUUGGAAAGUGAUAAAGAGCUUAACAAUGAUAAAAGUAAAAUUAUUUAAAAGUAAAGUUUAAUUGUUAAAAAAGUUUUAAACAAAUGUAUAUUAUUGCUAUUGUAAUGUAUAACGCUAUUUUUAUAUCAAAUUGUAAAUAGAAAUUUGUAUUUUUGGCAAAUUUAACAAGUUAUGAGAAUUGUAAAAGGACCUUUUUAAGAAAAAAUGUAAACAGCUAAUCAUUUAGACUUUUUUAUACGUUGAUUUGAACUUGUAAAUUGUAAUCCUAUUUAAAUAUUA